RNAcentral lists this long non-coding RNA (387 nucleotides) under Ananas comosus (pineapple). RNAcentral's name for it is "long non-coding RNA (ACOM_LNC029490)". The record is from RNAcentral. Lineage: Eukaryota; Viridiplantae; Streptophyta; Magnoliopsida; Poales; Bromeliaceae.
AGGAUAAAUUAAACUUUGGACUAAAUUACACAAAACUUUUCUGUAAAUAUUCGUUUUUUCACUUUUCCUUCCUAACCUUCAAAAACCAACAUUUUAAUCCCUCAACAUUUCAAGUUGUUGCAUUUAGCUCUCAUCCGUCAGGAUUCUAUCACUAUUCUGCUUAUUUCUUAUAAUUUAUACCAAAAAUAUCUUUGAAAAUAACAAAAAUAUAUUAAAAAAUUAUUUUUUAUAGAAGAAGUAAGGGUCAUUUGGUCAUUUUGCCCUCUCCAUUAAUGCGGUAUCUCCCUGAAAAUAUUUCUAAAAUUUUAAAAGAACAAAUUAUAAAUUUUAAAAUGUUAGGGAGGAAAAAUAAAAAAACAAAUAUUUAUAGAAAAGUUUUUUUGUAAU